This is a non-coding RNA of Acanthosepion pharaonis, 100 nucleotides long. The record is from the annotation of a GenBank genome assembly. Lineage: Eukaryota; Metazoa; Mollusca; Cephalopoda; Sepiida; Sepiidae.
UGUUAAACCACCGGUUCUCGUCCGAUCACCGAAGGUAAGCAACGUCGAGCUUGGUCAGUACCUAGGUGGGCGACCGCUUGGAAAUACCAGGUGCCGUAAG